Falco peregrinus (peregrine falcon) is the source of this 1034-nucleotide long non-coding RNA. RefSeq lists it as uncharacterized. NCBI's taxonomy places the organism in Eukaryota, Metazoa, Chordata, Aves, Falconiformes, Falconidae. The transcript has 3 exons. The record is from RefSeq and is a predicted model, not a curated record.
AAUAGUUUGAAGAAGGUGUGUAAAGAAUAGCAGAAAUGGUUAGAGCAGAGCUGAAGUGCUGCAAGGAAGGGCAGAGCCUGAAUGUGCAUGGGGAAGCCAAGCCCAGCCCGUGGAGAAACUGGGAGGAGAAAAGGAGAGCCGUGCUGAUGUGUUUCCUCCGCUCUUCCCUCUCCCGUCAGCCCUCCCUGAGCUGAUGGCCCAGAUGGAGGAGCCAGCGCUGCGUGUCUGCCCAGAAUGUGCCAGCGCGGCGGGCACACUGGGGGAGAACAGCGGGAUGAGAGUGGUGUGUUCAUAGUGCUCUAUCACUAGUCUGCCAACAGCAACAGCAUGCUAGAGCGGUUUAAAGUGCAAGAUAAACAUUAACUGGCAAUGCUGCCUGACACCUGUAUGUCGCUGCAUGUACUUUGCUUGGGAGUUCAGCGCUGAGCUGGACUCAGCUGACGAGCCACAGAGGCUCUGUGUUGGUGGUGGGCAGCCCCAAGAGCAGUCCCAAUGCACACUCCUGCUCUGCCUCUCCAGGGGCUUGCAAACAACUUCCCUACCGUGCUGCCCUGGGACUCCUGUCUGCUCCUGGAGAGGACACCAGGCUGCCUGUUGCUCCGGCCCCGAAGCAGAGCCAGCGCCUGCCGGGGAGGAGGCUGGAGGGGAGCAUCCUCCAUGAUCUCCCUGGACACACAUACCUGCCAAGUAUAAAAGCAUUUCAUUGGCCAUAUUGUAAAUUGGUUCUGCUAAUUAACAUAUACUAAUGCUAACCCACCCUUUGCUGAAGAAAGAAACAAUGUUCUUCAAGAUCCCCAGGAAGACACAGGUAAGCAACAUCCUUCAUGUAAACGCAAUCUUGUGUGAAGGCUCCCCGGGAGCGGUACAGGCAUCAGGACUGCUAUGAAAUAAGAAUAAAACCAAAAAUGCUUUAGCUAUUAUAUCCUAAAGCAUUGCAAAUACUUCUUCAAAAAUGGAAAAUACCAUUUUCCUGCCUGCUGCAUCACCAGCAUCUCCUGCAAAAUCUGGGGUUCAGCUGGCGUUUUUCAGAAGUG